GUCGAGAAUCAUUCACAAUGGGGGAAACCCUGAUGGUGUGACGCCGCGUGGAGGAUGAAGGUCUUCGGAUUGUAAACUCCUGUCAUGUGGGAGUAAAGCCGGGUGUUAAAUGCAUGCCGGUCUGAGAGUACCACAAGAGGAAGGGACGGCUAACUCUGUGCCAGCAGCCGCGGUAAUACAGAGGUCCCAAGCGUUGUUCGGAAUCACUGGGCGUAAAGGGUGCGUAGGCGGCGCGGAAAGUCAGGGGUGAAAUCCCGGAGCUCAACUCCGGAACUGCCUUUGAUACUCCCGCGCUUGAGAACUGGAGGGGAGACCGGAAUUCACGGUGGAGCAGUGAAAUGCGUGGAUAUCGUGAGGAACACUAGUGGCGAAGGCGGGUCUCUGGACAGUAUCUGACGCUGAGGCACGAAAGCGUGGGUAGCGAACAGGAUUAGAUACCCUGGUAGUCC
This 449-nucleotide ribosomal RNA is filed under the name uncultured bacterium. RNAcentral describes it as "partial 16S ribosomal RNA". It matches the Rfam family "Bacterial small subunit ribosomal RNA", at positions 354 to 796 of the family's 1533-position model. The record is from RNAcentral.